UCCCUUCUGGCUCAGUUGGUAGAGCAUGGUGUUUGCAACGCCAGCAUGGUGUGUGCAACGCCAGGGUUGUGGGUUCGAUUCCCACGGGGGGCC
Molecule: transfer RNA, 93 nt
Filed under: Salmo salar (Atlantic salmon)
Lineage: Eukaryota; Metazoa; Chordata; Actinopteri; Salmoniformes; Salmonidae
Rfam family: tRNA
About the family: Transfer RNA (tRNA) molecules are approximately 80 nucleotides in length. Their secondary structure includes four short double-helical elements and three loops (D, anti-codon, and T loops).
Source: Rfam by way of RNAcentral